CUGUUCUGUUCACAUGGUUUCAUCAUGGCUGAACUCCUGCUGCUGGUGGUGGCCUUUGCAUAUUCUUUUCAUGAAAUUAAAGCACAAGGUGAAGAGAAACUGAACAGGAAAGAGUUUAAACAUGACGAUUCUGAUGUUUAUCAUGUAUACGCCACCAUCUCUGAGGAUCGAGCCACACCAGUCCCACAGGAUAUGACGUACAGCAUGCUGCAGGCACACUGAAACAUUUAAACCUUUCAUACUGUGCUCUAGCAAAAACCUGAGAUGCUGAUGCCAUCCUGGAAACUUGAAGCAGUCUGGCCAUUCUCCUCUGACCUCUAGGAUCAACAAUAGAUUUUAGCCAGAGAACUGAAGCCCAAUGAAUAUUUCUCUUCCGUGGAACAUGCGGAUCAACAGUUUGAAAACUACCUAAACCAGCUCAUCUGCCACCAGCAACAGAGCCAUCCUGUUCAAAGUCACUCAAAUCACCUUUCUUCUCCAUUCUGAUGCUCGGUUUGAACUUUAGUGGGUCAUCUUGACUGUGUAAAAAUGCCUAAAUGCACUGAGUUUGUGGCAUUUGAUUAGGUUAUAAGGUGUUUGUGUUAACAAGCAGUUGAAUAAUAAAGUGUGUGUUUACUGUAUACAGAAAAUACUUUGAAAAACAACAAAGCUGGAUUUCAUCAACUUCAACAUAUUGAAAAAAGGAAUGGAAAAAUUUAUUUAUUUUUAGAAAUUAGUGACAUACACUGAAUUAUAAUAGUUAUUCGAUAUGUUUGCAUUUUAAACUAUUUGUUACUGUUAAUCUCAGACCUACAGUUAGUGUGACCUCUCCUAUUAAUACAGUUCAGAAUCAAGAGACAGAAUCACAGGUGAUAUUCUUGUGUGUUCAUCAAAAGUGCAAACAUGCAUUGCUGUGAAAGUCAGACACUGAACCAUUUCAACUUUCUGCAAAAAGGUCCAGCCUGCACUUUUGUGUAACACCACUUUGAGCCACUAGAUGGUGUAGUUAGUGAGUGCAGCCUUCCAUGACCUCAACAGGAGAAUAAGAUGAAAUGCUAUUGAAAUGCAGAUGUAGCAGAAUGACACAUGAUCUAUGAAUCUAAAAGUGGAAGUUAUGACCAGCAGGAGCAACUCACGUAAUAAAAAAACAUGCUUGGAAACAAUCUGGUCUUUAAGUGAUGACGUGAUGAAUCCUGCUUCUGGGCCCAAAUGACUCCGCGUUUAAUAAGGCUUUUGUGUUUUUUACAUGUUUUAAUGUUUUGUAUCUUGUUCUAUUUCAUCUCAACAAGCCCCUAAAAACAGUCAGUGAUCACUGUCGG
Molecule: long non-coding RNA, 1298 nt
Organism: Oreochromis niloticus (Nile tilapia)
Lineage: Eukaryota; Metazoa; Chordata; Actinopteri; Cichliformes; Cichlidae
Exons: 4
Source: RefSeq, a predicted model, not a curated record